CCUACGGGAGGCAGCAGUGAGGAAUAUUGGUCAAUGGGCGCGAGCCUGAACCAGCCAAGUAGCGUGAAGGAUGACUGCCCUACGGGUUGUAAACUUCUUUUAUAAUGGAAUAAAGUGAGGCACGUGUGCCUCUUUGUAUGUACUUUAUGAAUAAGGAUCGGCUAACUCCGUGCCAGCAGCCGCGGUAAUACGGAGGAUCCGAGCGUUAUCCGGAUUUAUUGGGUUUAAAGGGAGCGUCGGUGGUAUGUUAAGUCAGUUGUGAAAGUUUGGGGCUCAACCGUAAAAUUGCAAUUGAUACUGGCAUCCUAGAGUACAGUUGAGGUAGGCGGAAUUCGUGGUGUAGCGGUGAAAUGCUUAGAUAUCACGAAGAACUCCGAUUGCGAAGGCAGCUUACUAAACUGCCACUGACGUUGAUGCUCGAAAGUGUGGGUAUCAAACAGGAUUAGAUACCCUAGUAGUC
RNAcentral lists this ribosomal RNA (460 nucleotides) under uncultured bacterium. RNAcentral describes it as "partial 16S ribosomal RNA". It matches the Rfam family "Bacterial small subunit ribosomal RNA", at positions 338 to 795 of the family's 1533-position model. The record is from RNAcentral.